RNAcentral lists this ribosomal RNA (39 nucleotides) under Erysiphe macleayae. RNAcentral's name for it is "partial 18S ribosomal RNA". Lineage: Eukaryota; Fungi; Ascomycota; Leotiomycetes; Helotiales; Erysiphaceae. The record is from RNAcentral.
ACAAGGUUUCCGUAGGUGAACCUGCGGAAAGGAUCAUUA